UAGGGAAUCUUCGGCAAUGGACGAAAGUCUGAUCGAGCAACGUCGUGCGAGUGUAGAAGGUUUUCGGAUCGUAAAACUCUGUUGUUAGAGAAGAACAAGGACGUUAGUAACUGAACGUCCCCUGACGGUAUCUAACCAGAAAGCCACGGCUAACUACGUGCCAGCAGCCGCGGUAAUACGUAGGUGGCCAGCGUUGUCCGGAUUUAUUGGGCGUAAAGCGAGCGCAGGCGGUUUCUUAAGUCUGAUGUGAAAGCCCCCGGCUCAACCGGGGAGGGUCAUUGGAAACUGGGAGACUUGAGUGCAGAAGAGGAGAGUGGAAUUCCAUGUGUAGCGGUGAAAUGCGUAGAUAUAUGGAGGAACACCAGUGGCGAAGGCGGCUCUCUGGUCUGUAACUGACGCUGAGGCUCGAAAGCGUGGGGAGCAAACAGG
Molecule: ribosomal RNA, 429 nt
Filed under: Gemmatimonadota bacterium
Lineage: Bacteria; Pseudomonadati; Gemmatimonadota
Description: Gemmatimonadetes bacterium partial 16S ribosomal RNA
Rfam family: Bacterial small subunit ribosomal RNA
Source: RNAcentral